GAUGAACGCUGGCGGCGUGCUUAACACAUGCAAGUCGAACGGGAAAUAUUUCAUUGAGACUUCGGUGGAUUUGAUUUAUUUCUAGUGGCGGACGGGUGAGUAACGCGUGGGUAACCUGCCUUAUACAGGGGGAUAACAGUCAGAAAUGGCUGCUAAUACAGCAUAAGCGCACAGAGCUGCAUGGCUCAGUGUGAAAAACUCCGGUGGUAUAAGAUGGACCCGCGUUGGAUUAGCUAGUUGGUGGGGUAACGGCCCACCAAGGCGACGAUCCAUAGCCGGCCUGAGAGGGUGAACGGCCACAUUGGGACUGAGACACGGCCCAGACUCCUACGGGAGGCAGCAGUGGGGAAUAUUGCACAAUGGGGGAAACCCUGAUGCAGCGACGCCGCGUGAAGGAAGAAGUAUCUCGGUAUGUAAACUUCUAUCAGCAGGGAAGAUAGUGACGGUACCUGACUAAGAAGCCCCGGCUAACUACGUG
RNAcentral lists this ribosomal RNA (478 nucleotides) under uncultured bacterium. Its description in RNAcentral is "partial 16S ribosomal RNA". It matches the Rfam family "Bacterial small subunit ribosomal RNA", at positions 28 to 507 of the family's 1533-position model. The record is from RNAcentral.